UACGUAGGGGGCUAGCGUUGUCCGGAAUCAUUGGGCGUAAAGAGCGUGUAGGCGGUCCGGUAAGUCCGCUGUGAAAGUCGGGGGCUCAACCCUCGAAUGCCGGUGGAUACUGUCGGGCUAGAGUGCGGAAGAGGCGAGUGGAAUUCCUGGUGUAGCGGUGAAAUGCGCAGAUAUCAGGAGGAACACCUAUUGCGAAGGCAGCUCGCUGGGACGUAACUGACACUGAGGCGCGAAAGCUAGGGGAGCGAACGGG
Molecule: ribosomal RNA, 253 nt
Filed under: uncultured bacterium
Lineage: Bacteria
Description: partial 16S ribosomal RNA
Rfam family: Bacterial small subunit ribosomal RNA
Source: RNAcentral